RNAcentral lists this ribosomal RNA (468 nucleotides) under uncultured bacterium. RNAcentral's name for it is "partial 16S ribosomal RNA". It matches the Rfam family "Bacterial small subunit ribosomal RNA", at positions 28 to 507 of the family's 1533-position model. The record is from RNAcentral.
GACGAACGCUGGCGGCGUGCUUAACACAUGCAAGUCGAACGGAAAGGCCCUGCUUUUGUGGGGUGCUCGAAUGGCGAACGGGUGAGUAACGCGUGAGUAACCUGCCCUUGACUUUGGGAUAACUUCAGGAAACUGGGGCUAAUACCGGAUAGCAGCUCCUGCUGAGUGGUGGGGACUGGAAAGAUUCGGCGGUUGGGGAUGGACUCGCGGCGUAUCAGGUUGUUGGUGGGGUAGUGGCUUACCAAGGCUUUGACGGGUAGCCGGCCUGAGAGGGUGACCGGCCACAGUGGGACUGAGAUACGGCCCAGACUCCUACGGGAGGCAGCAGUGGGGAAUAUUGCACAAUGGGCGGAAGCCUGAUGCAGCAACGCCGCGUGCGGGAUGACGGCCUUCGGGUUGUAAACCGCUUUCGCCUGUGACGAAGCGUGAGUGACGGUAAUGGGUAAAGAAGCACCGGCUAACUACGUG